GAUUUAACUUAAACUUUAUAGCUGGAGUUUUACCUGUGACUCCUUAAUUAUAUUUGCGAGGGUUAAGUUUACUUAAACAUCAGAAACCUACCCUUUCCCAACCAGUAACUUACUUACAUAAACACACUGUAUUUGUUACAUACUCGUACAUGAACUUACAUACUCAAGUCACUUGCAUUGGGUUGUCCUCAACACAGCCGGCAAGACCGUAUGACCUUAGCUAAUAGACAAUCAUAGAAAAAUAAUUCUCGAAGUGACAAACGUCCUGUUGAAGCCUAAAUUCUCAAACUUGUUCGGGAGCCUCUUCUUAUUCAGGGUCUGACAUAUUUCUCCCAAGGUACACGUUCAACAGUUGCUAUGGUAGCUCCAAACCUACUUGGGUGUGCACCCCGCGGUAGAGGGGGGAAGCUGGGUCAUUAACAUUUAAAGGAACAGGUACUCAAAACAAGUCGCUCUGAACAGGGCUGUUACAGACAUUUCAAUAAGACCCCAAGGGACCAUAUCAACUUGUGGUAAAAAUGGCCAUACGAUGACUCCCUUACGGAAUGACAGUUCUGAUAGUAAGUGGCUAAGUAACUAGCUUGCUAGUUCAGUCUGUUAAAUUCCACAUGCCACAGGACGCCCACACAGAGUGUUUUGCUUAGCUUGUGUAUUUGGACCAUUAUUAGGGCUACUCAAGGAAAGUAAUCAAGUUGUCCCUGGUGGUAGUGUUCCAAUCGCAUUUCAACGCAACAGUCUUGUUUAUACAACACUGGACACAUAUGUAAAGAUCCCAUGUCCAAGGUUAUGCUUCCUCAGUGUGUUGACAGUAUUUGGUUAGUAAGGUGCCUAUAAAAGAACAACAAGGUGUUUGGCUGCUUUAUCCAUGAGCCACAUCAAAGCUGGCAUUUAGUGUCUCAUCUGCAGAAGAAACCAAAUCUUGCGGCGAGUCGAGUACAAUUUGAUCCUGGGCUACCUCAUCAUAGGGUGGUGGAGGGUUGAGCACUGGAAAGGUAAAGACAAAGAAAGACUUCUUGAAACUAAGAUCAGAUCAUUUCCCCUUUAACUGUGUAUAUGUCAACACCAUGUCUAUGAUGUCUAAGGCAUGACUUGGUGAAAUGAAUAG
Long non-coding RNA from Clupea harengus (Atlantic herring), 1105 nucleotides. The record is from Ensembl. NCBI's taxonomy places the organism in Eukaryota, Metazoa, Chordata, Actinopteri, Clupeiformes, Clupeidae.